AACGGAAAGGCCCUGCUUGCAGGGUACUCGAGUGGCGAACGGGUGAGUAACACGUGGGUGAUCUGCCCUGCACUUCGGGAUAAGCUUGGGAAACUGGGUCUAAUACCGGAUAGGAGCCAUCUUUAGUGUGGUGGUUGGAAAGUUUUUUCGGUGUAGGAUGAGCUCGCGGCCUAUCAGCUUGUUGGUGGGGUAAUGGCCUACCAAGGCGGCGACGGGUAGCCGGCCUGAGAGGGUGUACGGCCACAUUGGGACUGAGAUACGGCCCAGACUCCUACGGGAGGCAGCAGUGGGGAAUAUUGCACAAUGGGCGCAAGCCUGAUGCAGCGACGCCGCGUGGGGGAUGAAGGCCUUCGGGUUGUAAACUCCUUUCGCUAGGGACGAAGCUUUUUUGUGACGGUACCUAGAUAAGAAGCACCGGCUAACUACGUGCCAGCAGCCGCGGUAAUACGUAGGGUGCGAGCGUUGUCCGGAAUUACUGGGCGUAAAGGGCUCGUAGGUGGUUUGUCGCGUCGUCUGUGAAAUUCUGGGGCUUAACUCCGGGCGUGCAGGCGAUACGGGCAUAACUUGAGUGCUGUAGGGGUAACUGGAAUUCCUGGUGUAGCGGUGAAAUGCGCAGAUAUCAGGAGGAACACCGAUGGCGAAGGCAGGUUACUAGGCAGUUACUGACGCUGAGGAGCGAAAGCAUGGGUAGCGAACAGGAUUAGAUACCCUGGU
This 714-nucleotide ribosomal RNA is filed under the name uncultured Corynebacterium sp. Its description in RNAcentral is "bacterial SSU rRNA". It matches the Rfam family "Bacterial small subunit ribosomal RNA", at positions 65 to 791 of the family's 1533-position model. Lineage: Bacteria; Bacillati; Actinomycetota; Actinomycetes; Mycobacteriales; Corynebacteriaceae. The record is from RNAcentral.